ACACUAGUUUAAUUUCCCAUGAGAAGUGAGAACCCUUUCACUCACGUCCUCCACAGCCAGCCCUCUCUCCCAGCCCUUCGUCAUCAUCACUGAGAACCGUCCUCACUGAGAACCCUGGCACCCAGCCCUCUGUCGCCAUCCUUUGUCGCGCCCUCUCUCGCAGCCCGCUAUCGCAACCCUCUAUUGCAUCCUCAGCUUUGUAGUUUAUCACAAGCCUCAUCCUCGGAUUCGCACUCCACCGGAACCGUCCUCCUCGGAUUCUCACUUUAUCAGCGCUGCCUCCGUCGGCGCACCUUGCAUCUGUGUGCCCUCCCUUGGUGGUCACUCUCUCUCGUAAAGGUGCUAGGUGAGAACAACAUCAACGUCCCCUUGAUCCUCGAAGCUUCUGACCGAAUCGGCGGCAGGAUUUGGAAGGAAACAUUCACUGGCAUCUCCAUCGAGCUCGGUGCUGAAUGGAUUGCCGGUGUCGGUGGUAAAGUGUCCAAUCCUGGUUUAGGGGCACAUCAUUAACAGAAGUGCACAAUGCUAAAGAAAGUGCAAGGGCUGAAAGAACACCUGCAGUUGCUAAGAGAAGUACUCAGGUUUCCACAUCACAGCACAAGAAAUCAGUCUCUAAACUAGUCUCUAGUGUUGAUGGUCAAAUUUAUUCGAGGGAAAUACUCAUGAACUAAAAGCUCCUCUUUGGCAGCAUUUUAAUGUUGUCUCCGAUCAGAGUAAAAUGUUGCACUAGUUGUUUUCAUUAAAGAUGUUGAGUAGGCGAUCAUUGGUAAUUCAAACAUUCUGAAGAGUAAACUUGAAAGCUUACCACAAAAUGACAAGGUGCUCGAUAGUCGAAAGGACAAGUUUCCAAACCACACAUGCUGGCAUUCUGUUAACAAAGCUUGGGGCCAAUCUAGCAACAUUACUCGAUCUUUCUUUCCUGGUAGAAUAUGGCAAUAAAACCAACAGUUGCAUUGAGGGCUAUACUUGUUGGAGGGGUUGCAGCAUUCGCUAAAAUGGCCGGUGCAAUAAAGGCCGCAAGUGGUGUAAAAAUGGGUGCAGUGCAGUAGCAGUUGCUGCAAUAACAGUAGCAGCAACCACAGUUGUGGCAGGAUCAAAACAAGAACAAAAGAUGUUCCUCAACAAUCUCCAAAAUGUAUCUUUAUUUGUUUUUGGAAUUCUUUAUGUAUAUUAGUUGAAUCUUUUUCCGAGUUUUAUGAGAACAAAGAGAGCCAUUUGUGGAUUGUGAUAUU
This is a long non-coding RNA of Arachis duranensis, 1232 nucleotides long. RefSeq lists it as uncharacterized. The record is from RefSeq and is a predicted model, not a curated record. The transcript has 6 exons. NCBI's taxonomy places the organism in Eukaryota, Viridiplantae, Streptophyta, Magnoliopsida, Fabales, Fabaceae.